AGUGAACGCUGGCGGUAGGCCUAACACAUGCAAGUCGAACGGCAGCACAGUAAGAGCUUGCUCUUACGGGUGGCGAGUGGCGGACGGGUGAGGAAUACAUCGGAAUCUACUUUUUCGUGGGGGAUAACGUAGGGAAACUUACGCUAAUACCGCAUACGACCUGCGGGUGAAAGCAGGGGAUCUUCGGACCUUGCGCGAUUGAAUGAGCCGAUGUCGGAUUAGCUAGUUGGCGGGGUAAAGGCCCACCAAGGCGACGAUCCGUAGCUGGUCUGAGAGGAUGAUCAGCCACACUGGAACUGAGACACGGUCCAGACUCCUACGGGAGGCAGCAGUGGGGAAUAUUGGACAAUGGGCGCAAGCCUGAUCCAGCCAUACCGCGUGGGUGAAGAAGGCCUUCGGGUUGUAAAGCCCUUUUGUUGGGAAAGAAAAGCAGCAGGUUAAUACCUCGCUGUUCUGACGGUACCCAAAGAAUAAGCACCGGCUAACUUCGUG
Molecule: ribosomal RNA, 492 nt
Filed under: uncultured bacterium
Lineage: Bacteria
Description: partial 16S ribosomal RNA
Rfam family: Bacterial small subunit ribosomal RNA
Source: RNAcentral